RNAcentral lists this ribosomal RNA (310 nucleotides) under uncultured bacterium. RNAcentral's name for it is "bacterial SSU rRNA". It matches the Rfam family "Bacterial small subunit ribosomal RNA", at positions 30 to 334 of the family's 1533-position model. The record is from RNAcentral.
AUUGAACGCUGGCGGCAGGCCUAACACAUGCAAGUCGAACGGUAACAGGAAACAGCUUGCUGUUUCGCUGACGAGUGGCGGACGGGUGAGUAAUGUCUGGGAAACUGCCUGAUGGAGGGGGAUAACUACUGGAAACGGUAGCUAAUACCGCAUAACGUCGCAAGACCAAAGAGGGGGACCUUCGGGCCUCUUGCCAUCGGAUGUGCCCAGAUGGGAUUAGCUUGUUGGUGGGGUAACGGCUCACCAAGGCGACGAUGCGUAGGGGUUCUGAGAGGAAGGUCCCCCACACUGGUACUGAGACACGGACCAG